GCCGUUGCUAUGAUAAUCCUAUUUAGUACGAGAGGAUCUGCAGGUUCAGAUUAUUGGUAUAUCUACCUGGUCGACAGGCCAGUGGCGCGAAGCUACCAUCUGAGAGAUCAAGGCUGAAAACCUCUAAGUCUGAAUACUGUCCAUAUUUGCAAAGGU
This 156-nucleotide non-coding RNA is filed under the name Schistosoma margrebowiei. RNAcentral describes it as "Eukaryotic large subunit ribosomal RNA". It matches the Rfam family "Eukaryotic large subunit ribosomal RNA", at positions 3007 to 3161 of the family's 3401-position model. The record is from Rfam by way of RNAcentral. Lineage: Eukaryota; Metazoa; Platyhelminthes; Trematoda; Strigeidida; Schistosomatidae.